RNAcentral lists this ribosomal RNA (518 nucleotides) under Macaca fascicularis (crab-eating macaque). Its description in RNAcentral is "partial 12S ribosomal RNA". It matches the Rfam family "Bacterial small subunit ribosomal RNA", at positions 789 to 1533 of the family's 1533-position model. The record is from RNAcentral. Lineage: Eukaryota; Metazoa; Chordata; Mammalia; Primates; Cercopithecidae.
ACUAUGCUUGGCCCUAAACCUCAGUAGUUAGAUAACAAAACUACUCGCCAGAAUACUACGAGCAACAGCUUAAAACUCAAAGGACUUGACGGUGCUUUACAUCCCCCUAGAGGAGCCUGUUCCGUAAUCGAUAAACCCCGAUCCACCCCACCCUCUCUUGCUCAGCCUAUAUACCGCCAUCUUCAGCAAACCCUAAUGAAGGCUACAAAGUGAGCGCAAACGCCACUGCCGCGAAUACGUUAGGUCAAGGUGUAGCCCAUGAGACGGUAAAAAAUGGGCUACAUUUUCUAUUUCAGAAAACCCCACGAAAACCCUUAUGAAACUUAAGGGUCCAAGGAGGAUUUAGCAGUAAAUUAAGAAUAGAGUGCUUAAUUGAACCAGGCCAUAAAGCGCGCACACACCGCCCGUCACUCCUCUCAAAUAUAUUUAAGGAAUACCCUAACUAAACGCCCUAAUAUUUAUAUAGAGAGGAUAAGUCGUAACAUGGUAAGCGUACUGGAAGGUGCGCUUGGAUAAAU